RNAcentral lists this ribosomal RNA (462 nucleotides) under Gemella morbillorum. Its description in RNAcentral is "bacterial SSU rRNA". It matches the Rfam family "Bacterial small subunit ribosomal RNA", at positions 28 to 477 of the family's 1533-position model. Lineage: Bacteria; Bacillati; Bacillota; Bacilli; Caryophanales; Gemellaceae. The record is from RNAcentral.
GACGAACGCUGGCGGCGUGCCUAAUACAUGCAAGUCGAGCGAAGUUUUUCUGGUGCUUGCACUAGAAAAACUUAGCGGCGAACGGGUGAGUAACACGUAAAGAACCUGCCUCAUAGACUGGGACAACUAUUGGAAACGAUAGCUAAUACCGGAUAACAGUAUUUCUCGCAUGGGAGAUAUUUAAAAGUUGGUUAUGCUAACACUAUGAGAUGGCUUUGCGGUGCAUUAGCUAGUUGGUGGGGUAAAGGCCUACCAAGGCGACGAUGCAUAGCCGACCUGAGAGGGUGAUCGGCCACACUGGGACUGAGACACGGCCCAGACUCCUACGGGAGGCAGCAGUAGGGAAUCUUCCGCAAUGGGCGAAAGCCUGACGGAGCAACGCCGCGUGAGUGAAGAAGGAUUUCGGUUCGUAAAGCUCUGUUGUUAGGGAAGAAUGGAUAUGUAGUAACUAUACAUAUAAGA